This 376-nucleotide transfer-messenger RNA is filed under the name Thermophilibacter immobilis. RNAcentral's name for it is "Standard tmRNA". It matches the Rfam family "transfer-messenger RNA". Rfam says of the family: Bacterial tmRNA, also known as 10Sa RNA or SsrA, is named for its dual tRNA and mRNA-like properties. The record is from Rfam by way of RNAcentral. Lineage: Bacteria; Bacillati; Actinomycetota; Coriobacteriia; Coriobacteriales; Atopobiaceae.
GGGGGUGACUGGUUUCGACAGGGUGGGUCUGAGAUGGGCAGCAGGCCGUGGUCUCCUCGCCACGCUAAACAGGGGUACCGUCAAAUUGAAUUGACGACAACAACGCUUUUGAGCCUCAGCUGGCUCUCGCUGCUUAGUUUUAACUAACUAACCAGCGCGUCAAACCGGAGGUUGCUCCCGCCUCCGGGGCGGCGUCAUCCUAGGGAGAUGCACGAGCGGACGUGGCUGGUAUGCCGCUCGCCAAGAUCGAACCAGCUGGGACGUCGCGCGCGGGUCACCGGGUGCGCGUCGUCUAAGAUCUAACCGGUAACUGAGCCUGGAGACACCUGUCAGGGAUUUGCUUUGGACCGGAGUUCGAUUCUCCGCACCUCCACCA